Echinops telfairi (small Madagascar hedgehog) is the source of this 159-nucleotide small nuclear RNA. Its record names the gene U1. It matches the Rfam family "U1 spliceosomal RNA". From Rfam's summary of the family: U1 is a small nuclear RNA (snRNA) component of the spliceosome (involved in pre-mRNA splicing). The record is from Ensembl. Lineage: Eukaryota; Metazoa; Chordata; Mammalia; Afrosoricida; Tenrecidae.
AAACUGGCAGGGGAGAUAGCAUGAUCAUGAAGGUGGAUUUCCCAGGGUGGAGCUUAUGCAUUGCACUCAGGAUGUGCUGACCCCUGCAAUUUCCCCAAAUGUGGGAAACUUGGCUGCAUAAUUUGUGGUAGUGGGGGACUGCGUUUGUGCUCUCCCACA